CAAUAGCGUAUAUUUAAGUUGUUGCAGUUAAAAAGCUCGUAGUUGGAUUUCGGAUGGGACUUGCCGGUCCGUCGUUUCGAUGUGCACUGGCCAGUCCUAUCUUGUUGUCGGGGACUAGCUCCUGGGCUUCACUGUCCGGGACUAGGAGCUGACGAGGUUACUUUGAGUAAAUUAGAGUGUUCAAAGCAAGCCUACGCUCUGAAUACAUUAGCAUGGAAUAACACGAUAGGACUCUGGCUUAUCUUGUUGGUCUGUGAGACCAGAGUAAUGAUUAAGAGGGACAGUCGGGGGCAUUCGUAUUCCGUUGUCAGAGGUGAAAUUCUUGGAUUUACGGAAGACGAACAUCUGCGAAAGCAUUUGCCAAGGAUGUUUNCAUUGA
Molecule: ribosomal RNA, 379 nt
Filed under: uncultured eukaryote
Lineage: Eukaryota
Description: partial 18S ribosomal RNA
Rfam family: Eukaryotic small subunit ribosomal RNA
Source: RNAcentral